Molecule: non-coding RNA, 45 nt
Organism: Schistosoma rodhaini
Lineage: Eukaryota; Metazoa; Platyhelminthes; Trematoda; Strigeidida; Schistosomatidae
Source: Rfam
AUCCAGCUGAUGAACCCCGAAUUGGACGAAACGCGCGUCCUAGAU